Zea mays is the source of this 3159-nucleotide long non-coding RNA. RefSeq lists it as uncharacterized. Lineage: Eukaryota; Viridiplantae; Streptophyta; Magnoliopsida; Poales; Poaceae. The transcript has 2 exons. The record is from RefSeq and is a predicted model, not a curated record.
GAUCGAUCACCGUACUGGGACAGAUGCAGUUCCACCAAGCCCCAGGUCAACCCUUUUUUGUCUCUUCCUUUUGGGUUUCCUGCCAAAGUCUCAAAAAACCGGGGGCGCUGAGCUGUCCGGCAAAACCGUACCGAGAGUGGCCAUCGUUUUCUCCGUUCCACACACACACACACAUCGGCCGGCCACAGCAGAGGCCAGAGGCCAACAGAAGCGCCGCAUUCCACCGGCAUAGCAGUACCAUACGCUCCAGUGCGGCGUGAACCUCUCGUCAUCACCUCUCAGUGAGACCACCUGGGGCCUCUAGUUUGCAGGAUACUUCUGGCCACGUAUAGCAGAACCAUCCAAUUCUGAGUAGAUUCCAAAUCGACGAGGAUGUGUAUGUUUCCUCCGGUUCACCAAUCAUAUUCAGCCAGAUGUUCAUUCGUUCAUGUUGGUUUGGAAUUUGGAUGCUUUUAUGUUUCCUCCGAACCACCAGUUUAUAUUCAGUCAGAUAUUUAUUUAUUUAUUUCUGGGGGGAGUUUAGAGUUGGCUCAGUACAGUACAGCUACAGAUGGAUCAAGUCACGAACUGGCCGGAUAGCAGCCUGUGUUGCUAACUCGCUAUGGAGGGUGUAGCAAAGCUUGCUAGGUGUCAUAUCAAUGUGAGAAAUUGUGACUGAAGAUCGAGGUUUUCUUGACUGGCAUGCCAUUUGUCAUGCUAAUUAUUACUGUUUCCCCAUGUUUCUAGUGCUCUCCGUCAAAUGCCAACAAAUUAUUAUUAUAAGCUACUAUUCCAGGACACUUUACCUGCUAUGAAGACUUUGCAGGAUGUGCCUUACAGAGGCUGCUGGAAGUGAGAUGGUUACAAUUGCAACUCAAAGUGAAAGUCUAGACAUUGGCACACCAACAUUCUACCAUGCGGGACAGCAUUUACAACUUUUGAGACAUAAUUUCUGUCUCUCUGCACGUCCAUUUUCUUUUCUUGUCUCACAUAUUAUACUCUCUACAGUACACACAUAACAUACUCGUGUCUCUUUCUUGUCACACCUCACGGUGCAAUCAAUGGCUGUCUACAUAUAUUUUCAGAGAUCAUCUCGUACGCCCAUAUAUUUUCAGAGAUCAUCUCGGAGGUAACCUCAAGUGCCCCCGCCAUUUCAAUGUCUGUGAAAUCUGUCAGAUACUCUGGUAUGCUCGGCACCAUGAACAGGUUUUCAAAGCUUUCAUCCUGGAUUCCAUAGACAUCAUUGUGAACAAACGUUGGGCUGCUACUGCUUUGGUUCUGAUUGGCAAUCGGCACACUGUAAUAGUGUGCUGUGUCAACAACACACGGAUGGUUGACGACAUCCUUCUUGCAAAUGUGGUGGCCGUAAUAUUCAACGUCGAACAAGCUCACUGUCCCGCUUCCAUCUGAUUCCUUCUGUUGAACUGUCUUGGUUGCAAGGCACCCUUGGUCUUUACUAUUGGCACAUCUAUAGUAGCUCCUGAUUAAGCAUGACCUCAUUAUAUGUAUAUUUUUAUAUUUGUUAUUAUACGCAAAAGGCAAAAAUGUGCAAAAUAUUAUCCAUCCACAUAGAUGAGAAUGACUGCAGUUUUGAGCUAGUAUAUAUGUGCACAAAGCUAAUCAGCCAGCCACUGUCAGGGCCUAAGGAGGCCCACGGAGGGGCUGCGGUAGCAGCAGCCAUGGGCCCUCAAGGGGGAUUAGAUAAGGAUAGUUAGAGAUAAGAUUAGAAGAUUAGUUGAGAUUAUUUAGGAGAUUAGUUGAGAUUAUCUAGGAAGGUUAUCAGUUAGUAGUUUGUUGAGAGUUUUUAGGAGCUAAGGAUCUCUAGCUAGAUAGGGACGGCCAGCUGGCCUAUUUAUGUAAUCAAUGGAUGAGAAAUAAAGCAGGCAAGAAUUAGAAGGGACAAACCCUCCUCUUGCUUGGCCGUGGGCAAAGGCCCCUGGCCGACGUUCCUGCCCAUCGAUACCCCUCUCCAAUCCCUCACCGAUCUAGUGACCAUAACAUCCACACACACACGAGGACCCGAAUUCAGUUUACAAUAUAUGAAAUACGUCAACACAUAUGUUUUAUUACAUACCUAGAAUGCUUUGCUUUGGAGAUCCACUUCUGCCCAUACUUCCUCCAUUUAUAUCCAUCGAAGUGCGGUGCUUGUGUCACAAUUGAACCUGUGUGUUGUGCAUUCUUCCUAAGAGAAGGGGUAACUAUUUUAAGCCCCAGUAAAUGACACACAAGUAAACAUAUAUAUAUAAACUUCUUUUGCUACACACCUUCUUUUAUUUCCAAUUUCUUUAGCUUCCUCCCCCAGCAUGUGGCUCUCCACGCCGCUAUUCUUACCACGUUUUCUUCUAUGUUUGAUAAGAUUGGCCUGCUUCUUACUGUUAUCACCAAGUUCGAGAAAGGAGAGGACCUUACCUGAGGAACUGGAUAUAUCUUGAAAGAUUUGCUGAACAAGCUUCUCCUGCCUACUACAGGGAUCAAGUGUUGGUAGGAUAAGGUCAUAUAGGUCCCUCAUGAGAGCCCCUUGGUGUUCAAUCUCGUUGAGCACCACUUGGCAGCCACUACGAGUGGAAGAUUCAAGGAUGUUCAUUUGAUGUUCUCUAAAAUGUAUCUCGCUAUAAACUAUAAUAGCUGGACUUUGGAGCUGGAGGUGCUAGGUUUAUGCAGCUUUAGGCAUCUAUUUAUACAAGCAAGCUAGUAGCAGCAGCACACACAGUAUGAUAUGAGCAUGGUGGAGGGAAGGGAUCGUUUUUCAAAUUUUCUCACUGGAGAAGACUAGGGAGGAGCAAUGUCCCUGUCCAACGGUGGUAUGUGGUACAACUAAAGGAUGGGUGGCAGUGUCUACAUCACUCGCAUGACGUUCAUGGAAGGAAACAUGCAUAUAGCUAGGGGCAAUAAUUCUUGAGGCUGUUAUAGGGAGGAGCAGGCAACGUUGCUGUACAUACACAGGCCCUAGGACAGGGACAUGCUUCAUUGACCUCUAAUGGUAAAUGAUACCGAGUCAUUUCGAAAUUCCUGCAAAAUAAACUAGUCAAUCUCAUCUUACACAUAACAGCUGAUGUUCCAUAAUGAGGUACUCCGUGCGUUCCAAAAUAUAGUUCGUUUUAGACUAAACAUACAUUUAUUAAUCGACUUAUAUGAAUGUAGUUUUGUAUGUAUAUAUAUAUGUAUAUUCAUUAUCAUUUA